ACGCCGGCCGGGCCGGGCCCGAGGCCGCCCCGAGGUGGAGGCCGGGCCCGGGAAUGAGGCGCGCGGGGCCUGUUCUCCCGGAGAAGCCUCCUCUGGACUCCACCCGGGCCCCCAGACCCCUCUGAAGACCGAAGACGAGGAGGGCUCGGCGGGAUCGCUGCUCCUCCCCGCGACGCCCGUGCAGUAACACAUUAUUUCUUACUCAAAAGCCAUUCCUUCCGUUCCAUCCCCGGUGGGCUGCCCGGCGUCCCACGCGCGCAGCCGGUGGGCCUCGCCACGGCCCCCAAGCCCGGCAGAGUAGGAACUAUAACCGUCUCCAUUUUAGAAAUAGGUACUCAGUAAAGACUUAAAUCUCUUAAAGAGUUAAAGACUAGGGGAAAACAAGUGACUUGUCCAAGGUCACAUGACAAUAGAUGGACUACAGACCUGCCAGGCAAAGAGGAGCAUUUUAUGAAAAGCAGACAUCUCUCAUGUGAGAAGAAGGCUCAGGCACAGCAGGACAGAAGCUCCUAGCUUUCUCCAUUGCCAGAGAACUGGUCCUCCAGAGUCACCUCUUCUGGGUCCGAAACUGUCGGAAGAGCCACUGGACGACGAAGGGCCACAGAAGCAAGAAGAAC
Long non-coding RNA from Perognathus longimembris pacificus (Pacific pocket mouse), 617 nucleotides. RefSeq lists it as uncharacterized. Lineage: Eukaryota; Metazoa; Chordata; Mammalia; Rodentia; Heteromyidae. The transcript is spliced from 3 exons. The record is from RefSeq and is a predicted model, not a curated record.